This 253-nucleotide ribosomal RNA is filed under the name uncultured bacterium. RNAcentral describes it as "partial 16S ribosomal RNA". It matches the Rfam family "Bacterial small subunit ribosomal RNA", at positions 524 to 776 of the family's 1533-position model. The record is from RNAcentral.
GACAGAGGUGCCUAGCGUUAGGCGGAAUCACUGGGCUUAAAGCGUGUGUAGGCGGAUCGUUAAGUACCUUGUGAAAUCCCCCGGCUCAACCGGGGAACUGCUGGGUAUACUGGCGAUCUUGAGCGAUCUAGGGGCAGAUGGAACAAGUGGUGGAGCGGUGAAAUGCGUAGAUAUCAUCUGGAACGCCAAUGGUGAAGACAGCUCGCUGGGGGUGUACUGACACUGAGACACGAAAGCCAGGGGAGCAAACGGG